AGAAAUCGAGUCCGAAUAGGGCGAAUCAGUCGCUGGGUGUAGACCCGAAACCAAGUGAUCUAUCCAUGGCCAGGAUGAAGGUGCCGUAACAGGUACUGGAGGUCCGAACCCACAAAUGUUGAAAAAUUUGGGGAUGAGCUGUGGAUAGGGGUGAAAGGCUAAACAAACUUGGAGAUAGCUGGUUCUCUCCGAAAACUAUUUAGGUAGUGCCUCGUAUAUCAUUCUCGGGGGUAGAGCACUGUUAUGGCUAGGGGGUUCAUAAGAACUUACCAAACCAUUGCAAACUCCGAAUACUGAGAAAUGCAAUUACGGGAGACAGACCAUGGGUGCUAACGUCCGUGGUCAAGAGGGAAACAACCCAGACCGACAGCUAAGGUCCCAAAUGACGUGCUAAGUGGAAAACGAAGUGGGAAGGCAUAGACAGCCAGGAUGUUGGCUUAGAAGCAGCCAUCAUUUAAAGAAAGCGUAAUAGCUCACUGGUCGAGUCGUCCUGCGCGGAAGAUGUAACGGGGCUAAGCACGUAACCGAAGCUUCGGAUGCCAUAUUUAUAUGGCAUGGUAGGAGAGCGUUCUGUAGGCCUGUGAAGGUGUCUGGUAACGGAUGCUGGAGGUAUCAGAAGUGCGAAUGCUGACAUGAGUAGCGUUAAAGGGGGUGAAAAGCCCCCUCGCCGUAAGCGCAAGGUUUUCUACGCAACGUUCAUCGGCGUAGAGUGAGUCGGCCCCUAAGGCGAGGCAGAGAUGCGUAGCUGAUGGGAAACAGGUCAAUAUUCCUGUACCGAUGUGUAGUGCGAUGUGGGGACGGAGAAGGUUAGCUCAGCCAACUGUUGGAUAUGUUGGUUCAAGCCUGUAGUCGUGCCUGGUAGGCAAAUCCGCCGGGCUUAGAUGAGGGGUGAUAACGAGUCUGCUUGCAGACGAAGUGAGUGAUACCCUGCUUCCAGGAAAAGCCACUAAGCUUCAGCUACACACGACCGUACCGCAAACCGACACUGGUGCGCGAGAUGAGUAUUCUAAGGCGCUUGAGAGAACUCAGGAGAAGGAACUCGGCAAAUUGAUACCGUAACUUCGGGAGAAGGUAUGCCCCAAGUAGGUGAACUCGAACAGAGGGAGCCCAACGGGGUUGCAAAAAAUCGGUGGCUGCGACUGUUUAAUAAAAACACAGCACUCUGCAAACACGAAAGUGGACGUAUAGGGUGUGACGCCUGCCCGGUGCUGGAAGAUUAAAUGAUGGGGUGCAAGCUCUUGAUUGAAGUCCCAGUAAACGGCGGCCGUAACAAUAACGGUCCUAAGGUAGCGAAAUUCCUUGUCGGGUAAGUUCCGACCUGCACGAAUGGCGUAACGAUGGCCACACUGUCUCCUCCCGAGACUCAGCGAAGUUGAAAUGUUUGUGAUGAUGCAAUCUCCCCGCGGAAAGACGGAAAGACCCCAUGAACCUUUACUGUAGCUUUGUAUUGGACUUUGAACAGAUCUGUGUAGGAUAGGUGGGAGGCUUUGAAGUACGGUCGCUAGAUCGUAUGGAGCCAACGUUGAAAUACCACCCUGGUGUGUUUGAGGUUCUAACCUAGGUCCAUUAUCUGGAUCGGGGACAGUGCAUGGUAGGCAGUUUGACUGGGGCGGUCUCCUCCCAAAGUGUAACGGAGGAGUUCGAAGGUACGCUAGUUACGGUCGGACAUCGUGACGAUAGUGCAAUGGCAUAAGCGUGCUUAACUGCGAGACUGACAAGUCGAGCAGAUGCGAAAGCAGGACAUAGUGAUCCGGUGGUUCUGUAUGGAAGGGCCAUCGCUCAACGGA
RNAcentral lists this ribosomal RNA (1787 nucleotides) under Rhizoctonia solani. RNAcentral's name for it is "bacterial LSU rRNA". It matches the Rfam family "Bacterial large subunit ribosomal RNA", at positions 672 to 2456 of the family's 2925-position model. Lineage: Eukaryota; Fungi; Basidiomycota; Agaricomycetes; Cantharellales; Ceratobasidiaceae. The record is from RNAcentral.